Physella acuta is the source of this 409-nucleotide long non-coding RNA. RefSeq lists it as uncharacterized. The record is from RefSeq and is a predicted model, not a curated record. NCBI's taxonomy places the organism in Eukaryota, Metazoa, Mollusca, Gastropoda, Physidae.
CCGCCAUGUUUUAAUUAAUUUGUGUUAAUUAGUAGUUAAAUAAUCGAUGAACAAGUUUAUCAAAUAGUCCGACCUAAUACACUGAGUAGGCUUGCCUGAAUCUAUAGGAAGAGGGAUUGAAUCAGCUCUACCAUAAGAAAAUGAGACAACUAGCUGUGAUUGCUCUAGUGUGUGUUGUUCUGAUAUGCUACAGCAGCGUAACUUGUAACAAAGAUGAAUUUGGUCUAUUUCGGUGUUCAAGAGAAGACUGUGAAUCUCUGAUAUGCUGUCCUGGUUACUACUGCAAAGAGCGUGAAGAAGGAAGAAUGUGCGAAAUUAGAGGACCAAGAUGAUGUGCCAUUUACCUUGACGAGAUCUUUGACACCAUAGACAAAUAAAUAUAAAUAAAUAAAUGUAGGCUCUACAUACA